AGAGUUUGAUCAUGGCUCAGAUUGAACGCUGGCGGAAUGCUUUACACAUGCAAGUCGAACGAUGAACCCUAGCUUGCUAGGGGGAUUAGUGGCGAACGGGUGAGUAAUAUAUCGGAACGUGCCUUGUAAUGGGGGAUAACUAGUCGAAAGAUUAGCUAAUACCGCAUACGCCCUGAGGGGGAAAGUAGGGGAUCUUCGGACCUUACGUUAUAAGAGCGGCCGAUAUCUGAUUAGCUAGUUGGUGGGGUAAUGGCCUACCAAGGCUUCGAUCAGUAGCUGGUCUGAGAGGACGACCAGCCACACUGGAACUGAGACACGGUCCAGACUCCUACGGGAGGCAGCAGUGGGGAAUUUUGGACAAUGGGCGCAAGCCUGAUCCAGCCAUUCCGCGUGAGUGAAGAAGGCCUUCGGGUUGUAAAGCUCUUUCGCAAGGGAAGAAAACUUACAUUCUAAUAAAGUGUGAGGCUGACGGUACCUUGAUAAGAAGCACCGGCUAACUACGUGCCAGCAGCCGCGGUAAUACGUAGGGUGCGAGCGUUAAUCGGAAUUACUGGGCGUAAAGCGUGCGCAGGCGGUUUGGCAAGUCAGAUGUGAAAUCCCCGAGCUCAACUUGGGAACUGCGUUUGAAACUGCCAGACUAGAAUAUGUCAGAGGGGGGUAGAAUUCCACGUGUAGCAGUGAAAUGCGUAGAGAUGUGGAGGAA
Molecule: ribosomal RNA, 703 nt
Filed under: uncultured bacterium
Lineage: Bacteria
Description: bacterial SSU rRNA
Rfam family: Bacterial small subunit ribosomal RNA
Source: RNAcentral